AACGCACCUUGCGCUCCUUGGUAUUCCGAGGAGCAUGCCUGUUUGAGUGUCAUUAAAUUCUCAACCUUAUUAGCUUUUGCUGGUAAUGGCUUGGACUUGGGGGUUAUUUGCUGGCUUCUUCAUGAGAUCAGCUCCCCUUAAAUGCAUUAGCUGGUUGUCUUUGACUUGUCUAUUGGUGUGAUAAUUAUCUACGCCGUGGGCUUGUCUGCUUAGCACCGCUUCUAACUGUCUGUUGACUCAGACACUUUAUGACAAUUUGACCUCAAAUCAGGUAGGACUACCCGCUGAACUUAA
Molecule: unclassified non-coding RNA, 294 nt
Filed under: uncultured Pholiota
Lineage: Eukaryota; Fungi; Basidiomycota; Agaricomycetes; Agaricales; Strophariaceae
Description: sequence contains ITS2
Rfam family: 5.8S ribosomal RNA (bases 1-52)
Source: RNAcentral